CAGGUGAGGCCGCCCGGGGUGUUCGUCGCGCCAGGCUUCAUUUCUUGACCAGAGUUCCAGUCCGGCGCCUCCUGCUGGACACGACGGGAUGGGUGGAGAUGCGGGGCGGGCUCAGUCCUCCGGCUUCUAGGUACGGUUCCAAAACCACUGAGGGUUUUCUGCCUUUCCACCCCGAGUUCAGUUGGGAAACAGCUCCUUAUCUCCCCUGCUGAAGCCAAACAGUAGGUCGAAUGCCCCGGGUGGGUGAGGUCUUUGGCUGCUGGAAACUCAGAACAAAAAGCGAAGGCUAAAAGGAGUUGGUCCCCCAAAAUAGCCCAAAGUCAUGGUGAGGGUCGGGCAAUGACCCUUGAAGGAUUCUGGCAAGUUUCUGCUGGUUCACACCACUCCCCUUAUCUUUUGGUUGGGCAACAGUUAAAUUCAUAAAUGGGCAAAGAAGUAGCAGGACCUUCGUGGAUCCACUGAACCUUGUUACUAAGGGAAAGUGCAGCAUGCUGUGUGUGUGAAAAGGAUUUUUUUGUUUGUUUUUUAAUUUAAGAACCUAACUCAUUUUUCAAAAGAGUGAUCGAUACUCGCCCAAAGUAAACUUGAACUGCCUGGGCAUAGAGUUCCCACAGAGGUACUUGUUCUUUCAGUACGCAGAUAAAGCGAUGCAGAAGUCAACAAGCAAAAAGGGAGUUCCAGAAACAGGAAACACUGAAAAUAGAGGGAAGGAAAUUAUAAAAAGUAAUUCAAGACAAUUUCUCAGAACUAAAAGACGUGAGUGUCUAGUGCAGUGAUCUAAAAUAGACCCACAACACAGCAUAUAAUCAUGGCAUUUCACAACUAAGGACAAAGGAAAUCCUACAAUCUUUCACAGGGGCAGAAAAACAUGUUUCAUAACAGAAUCAAGAAUCAGAAUGGCACCAAACUUCUCUAAAGAUAACAUUAAAAUCUGUAAGACAAUGCAAUGAUGAUCUCAAAAUUAUGAAGGAAAAUGAUUUGCAAUUUCAAUUCCAUGCCCAUCCCAAAGUGUGAGGACAGAAUGAAGAUCUCCAGAAGUUUAUUUACUUUGCAUCCUUUCUCAGAAUGCAGGCAAGAAAGAGGAAGGGCUGGGAUCCAAGAAAUGGAGGGACAAGGGGAAUCCUCAGGAUGGGGUAAAGGAAAACGUCAAGGUGACAGUGUCUAAAGAAUAGUAUGUCCUGGAUGGAGCAGAUCAGAAGGUUCCAGGAAGCAUUUCUUCUGGAAGUUGAAUUUGAUAGAAUACUAAUUUGAAUAUCUUAAGAGAAAAUUUGUACAUGUUGGGAAAAUUUGGGUGAUAUUAGCAAUGAGUUCAAAGAAAAGCAAAUCUAACAGAAAAGGAGAACAUUAUUAACUUCAGAAAAAAAAUUAUGUAAGACAUUAAAAUUAAGAAGUUUUCUCCUCAAAAGUCACCUGAAAGCAAGUGAAAAGACAAAUUAGAAUCUUGGAGAUAUUCACAAUAUACAUAAAUGACAAAGAAAUGCCAAGAAUAUAUUUAAAACUUCUAAAAAUCAUUAGAAUCAUUAGAUGAGAAAAAACAACCCAAUUUAAAAACAUCAAGAGAAAUGAGGUAUUUUACAGAAGAGGAAAUUGCAAAUGACUGAUAAACAUAAGAAGAGAUAUUAACAUGACUGGUGAUCAGGAAAAUGCAAAUCAAGACCACGUGAUAAAAAUUUUAAAGACUAAUAAUGCCGAAUGUUAGGUAAGAUGUAAACUCACCAAAAUCUUUUAUGUGUUGCUGGUAGAAUUUUUAAAAAAUAGAAAUUUUUGACAUUACCUUUCAAAAUUGAAGAUAAAUAUACCUUAUGACCCAGCAAUUUCUCUUCUAGAUAGAAAGAGAAAGUUCUCAUUAUAUACAAUGAAACAUGUACAAGAAAGUUCAUCACAGCAUUGUCCAACCCAAAAGCACUAGUGGGAGAGUGGAUGAAUAAACUGUGAUAAUUUACAGCCGUCAAAACAAAUGAAUGUAUGGAUGACUCUUAGUGAUUUUAUUUGCGUUGAACAGUGGUCUCUCCAAAAUUCUUGUCCACCUGGACCCUCAGAAUGUGAACUUGUUUGGAAAUAGACUCUUUACAGAUGUAAUUAAGGUAAGGAUCAAGGUGAAAUCAUGCUGGAUUAGGAUGGACCCUAAAUCCAGUGAGAGUGUCCUUAUAAGAGACAGAAAAGACAGGUACAGAGGAGAUGAUGAUGUGAAGACAGAGGCAGAGAAUGAAGCCAUGCAUCUACAAGCUAAGGAAAGCCAGGAGCCACCAGAAGCUGGAAAAGGCAAGGAAGAAUUCUCACUCAGAGCCUCUAGAGGGAGCGUCACCUGGCCAGCAUCUUAAUCCUGGACUUCUGGCUUCUAAAACUGUGAAAAUGUAUUUCUGUUAUUUUAAAUCACCAAGUGUGUAGUAAUUUGUUAUGCAGCGCUAGAAGUCAUACACCAACUUUAAAAGUGAAACGAUCAUUCUAGUUUAUCUAUGAGGGUUGCUCCAAAAAGUAAUUUUUUCAAGGAAGGAAUAUUUGUUUUGUAUUACAAUCAACACAGGGAAAAUGAAGCUCAGUUUUUAAACAAAGUUGGAGCAGGAUUGUUUCAGGUCUUCAGAACUGUGUGUUACGUAAGUAAGUACAUACAUAUUUUUAAAUCUUGUCAUAUUUACUAGAUACUUGUUAUCUACUAGGUCUGUGUUAAAUACAAAAUAUGUGUACUUUUUGCAUUGACAUGUCCACAAAACCCUAAUUCAGGAUUUUAGGUGUAGCCAAUUAAACUAGCUACAGUCAUCUCUGACCAAAGUAAAUGAAUGUAAAACAUUUUGCCAAUGAUCUGUUGACCAUAAGCAAUGAGUUGACAGGCCUCAGAACAGUUUUUGGUUACAUGUUUUGAAUGACCACAUUCUGAGUUACAGGGCUGACAGACCUCAUGGCCAUAAAAAUUCGUAACACUCCCACCCAAGUAAAUAUUGCAUUUAUAUCUAGCUUAUUCAUUUCUGCCUCCACAUCGAGUAACUAGGGAAACAGUGAUGUCACUGCUUAGCAUGGUAUUUACAAACUUCUCUACUUAACUUCAUGGCUUAGGAAGCCUACAGUUAUUUACUAGUCUCACUUAAACUUCUGUAAGAAAGUCAUACACCUUUUAUUUUUUCUGAGCUGCUGAUGGGGAAAUGGGAUCAUUCUGUUUUAAUGUGUUAUUUUGAGAAAAUAUGUAUUCUAAAGUGUACUGUUACUGUUUUUGAAAAAUCAUCUGUGCAUUUGCCGCAAAAGGGUUUUGAUGUGCAUUGACAAUAGAUAAAAUCAUGUGACUCAAAUUAAAUAUUAUCCCUUGGGCCAGCCUCCUUUAAACAGUCAGCCUUCAGGUGGCCUGGACUGCCUCCGUUCCACUGUGCCACAUUGCUUUUGACCUGAGAAGCUAGCUCUCUUUCUUGUUCUUCUUCCUUAUAAUCUUAUUUCGAACUCCAUCAUGUUGGUAACAAAUAGUUUUAAGAAAUAAGCAGUACCUGGGCAUAACAGUAAAAAGCCACCUGCCUCCAAAAUGGAAAAGAAAUUAGUUAGCAAUCUUUCCAGUGAAAUAAACAAAACGGGCACUCAAUACUGCUCACCAGUCUCUUGCCUAAUAUGUUUGCAUUCUCAAUUUCAAAAAUUAUUUCACUCCAUCUCUUCUUUUCUCAAACUUGCCACACUCCCUCUGCUCUCUCUCAGCUUUUUUCCUAACAAUAUAAUUCAUUGAGAUAAUAGAAGCAACUACAUGUGACUUUCAUUAUUUCCCACCACCAAAACCACCAAACCCACAUCCACACAGCAGUAACAUCUAUUCCUGAAUUGUAAUGGCUAUUUCUAAAUUCUGAGAUGCUGAGUUCCUUGCAUAUUACCUGGUCAAUCCCUAGAACUUUGGGUAUCUGUGUGACACCUGAGACUCAGAGCCAGAGUGUGGCAGCUAUGAAUGUCAGCACUACCCCAUACAGCAAAUGUUAAACAAUCUGAAAAAAGAAAUUAAGCUUCAGUUAGAUAUAUGAAUGCAUAUGACUUGAUUAGGAUUAAGGUAACUCAAGCUAAAGAGUAAAGGAUGAUAUUAGCAGUGGUUUAAAACUUCAACUUCUAUGUGACACCAAAGGAAGAAAUGUUUAUUGGGAGCACAAUCUAUAUUUUUUGUAA
Molecule: long non-coding RNA, 4125 nt
Organism: Choloepus didactylus (southern two-toed sloth)
Lineage: Eukaryota; Metazoa; Chordata; Mammalia; Pilosa; Megalonychidae
Exons: 3
Source: RefSeq, a predicted model, not a curated record